UUGAUUGCAAGACAUACAGGUCGAGCAAGGAUGAAAAUCGGACUUAGUGAUCCGGUGGUUCUGCGUGGAAGGGCCAUCGCUCAACGGAUAAAAGCUACCCUGGGGAUAACAGGCUUAUCUCCCCCAAGAGUCCACAUCGACGGGGAGGUUUGGCACCUCGAUGUCGGCUCAUCACAUCCUGGGGCUGUAGUAGGUCCCAAGGGUUGGGCUGUUCGCCCAUUAAAGUGGUACGCGAGCUGGGUUCAGAACGUCGUGAGACAGUUCGGUCCCUAUCCGUCGCAGGCGUAGGAAAUUUGAGAAGACCUGUCCUUAGUACGAGAGGACCGGGAUGGACGUACCUCUGGUGUACCAGUUGUCCUGCCAAGGGCAUGGCUGGGUAGCUAUGUACGGAAUGGAUAAGCGCUGAAAGCAUCUAAGCGCGAAGCCAACUUCAAGAUAAGAUUUCCCACCGCAAGGGUAAGACCCCAGAAAGACUAUCUGGUUGAUAGGUCGAAGGUGUAAGUGCAGCAAUGUAUUUAGCUUAUCGAUACUAAUAGGUCGAGGACUUGACCAAU
Molecule: ribosomal RNA, 554 nt
Filed under: Clostridioides difficile
Lineage: Bacteria; Bacillati; Bacillota; Clostridia; Peptostreptococcales; Peptostreptococcaceae
Description: partial 23S ribosomal RNA
Rfam family: Bacterial large subunit ribosomal RNA
Source: RNAcentral